AGUAGGAAAACUGGGUCAAAUGGUGGUUCCAUUCCAAGUUUUCUGAGGAAUCUCCAUAUUGCUUUCCAGAGUGGAUGCACCAGUUUGCAAUUCCCACCAGCAAU
This 104-nucleotide microRNA precursor is filed under the name Marmota monax (woodchuck). Lineage: Eukaryota; Metazoa; Chordata; Mammalia; Rodentia; Sciuridae. The record is from RNAcentral.